Molecule: long non-coding RNA, 537 nt
Organism: Cyprinus carpio (common carp)
Lineage: Eukaryota; Metazoa; Chordata; Actinopteri; Cypriniformes; Cyprinidae
Source: Ensembl
CAUGAAACAGUCCAAACUGUCCACUGUAAAGCGCCUUACAAAACCGAUUCUUUUUGGGACACUGCUAGUAGGUUUGGCGACGGCAUUUUUGAAUAGACAUCUGUUCAUGGAGGACCUGUCGGAUCUCAGGGAGCAGGAACGAUCCCGCAAUGAAGCCAAACGACUGGAGGUGCUGGAGAGGAGGAGGAGACAAAUAGAUGAACAUGCAGGGAAGAGUGCAGGGGACAGGUGAGAUGACUGAAUGGACGCCUGCAGGAAAUCAACACUGAAGAAAACAUGGGACAUCUUUGCCUAUAAGGAUUUGUCAUGUGUUAAAAAACUUUUCCUUGAUUGUUCUGUUAUUGCUGUAAUGGGACAGAAGUUGCAUGGAAAGUCUAAGAGUGAUAUAGCAAGCAAUGAUUUGAAUUGAUUGCCUUGAUCAUAUUUAGCUGUAACGGCUGGAUUUGCAAGAGGAUUAUACAUUACACAAAUGUAAGAUGCAAAUGGGGGGUAAUUAUUAGUAAGCCAAAUAAAUAUGGAUGUGCCUCAUUCCUACCA